RNAcentral lists this ribosomal RNA (474 nucleotides) under Pseudomonas aeruginosa. Its description in RNAcentral is "partial 23S ribosomal RNA". It matches the Rfam family "Bacterial large subunit ribosomal RNA", at positions 523 to 999 of the family's 2925-position model. Lineage: Bacteria; Pseudomonadati; Pseudomonadota; Gammaproteobacteria; Pseudomonadales; Pseudomonadaceae. The record is from RNAcentral.
ACCCCGGCGCGGGGAGUGAAAAAGAACCUGAAACCGUGUACGUACACGCCGUGGGAGCACCUUCGGGUGUGACUGCGUACCUUUUGUAUAAUGGGUCAGCGACUUAUAUUCUGUAGCAAGGUUAACCGUAUAGGGGAGCCGCAGGGAAACCGAGUCUUAACUGGGCGUUAAGUUGCAGGGUAUAGACCCGAAACCCGGUGAUCUAGCCAUGGGCAGGUUGAAGGUUGGGUAACACUAACUGGAGGACCGAACCGACUAAUGUUGAAAAAUUAGCGGAUGACUUGUGGCUGGGGGUGAAAGGCCAAUCAAACCGGGAGAUAGCUGGUUCUCCCCGAAAGCUAUUUAGGUAGCGCCUCGUGAAUUCAUCUCCGGGGGUAGAGCACUGUUUCGGCAAGGGGGUCAUCCCGACUUACCAACCCGAUGCAAACUACGAAUACCGAAGAAUGUUAUCACGGGAGACACACGGCGGGUGCU